This 440-nucleotide ribosomal RNA is filed under the name uncultured bacterium. RNAcentral's name for it is "partial 16S ribosomal RNA". It matches the Rfam family "Bacterial small subunit ribosomal RNA", at positions 338 to 795 of the family's 1533-position model. The record is from RNAcentral.
CCUACGGGUGGCAGCAGUAGGGAAUAUUGGGCAAUGGGGGAAAGCCUGAAGCAGCAACGCCGCGUGGAGGAUGAAGGUUUUCGGAUUGUAAACCCCUGUUGUUAGAGAAGAUAAUGACGGUAUCUAACGAAUAAGCACCGGCUAACUCCGUGCCAGCAGGCGCGGUAAUACGGAGGGGGCAAGCGUUACUCGGAAUCACUUGGCGUAAAGAGCGCGUAGGCGGGUUAGCAAGUCAGAUGUGUAAUGCUAUGGCUUAACCAUAGAACUGCAUUUGAAACUGUUAGUCUAGAGUAUGGGAGAGGUAGGUGGAAUUCUUGGUGUAGCGGUGAAAUCCGUAGAGAUCUAGAGGAAUACUGAUUGCGAAGGCGGCCUGCUAGAACAUAACUGACGCUGAUGCGCGAAAGCGUGGGGAGCAAACAGGAUUAGAUACCCGGGUAGUC